CGGCGGACGGGUGAGUAACGCGUGGGUAACCUGCCUCAUACAGGGGGAUAACAGUUGGAAACGGCUGCUAAUACCGCAUAAGCGCACAGUACCGCAUGGUACGGUGUGAAAAACUCCGGUGGUAUGAGAUGGACCCGCGUCUGAUUAGGUAGUUGGUGGGGUAACGGCCUACCAAGCCGACGAUCAGUAGCCGACCUGAGAGGAAGGUCCCCCACAUUGGAACUGAGACACGGUCCAA
RNAcentral lists this ribosomal RNA (238 nucleotides) under uncultured bacterium. RNAcentral's name for it is "partial 16S ribosomal RNA". It matches the Rfam family "Bacterial small subunit ribosomal RNA", at positions 96 to 334 of the family's 1533-position model. The record is from RNAcentral.